RNAcentral lists this ribosomal RNA (679 nucleotides) under Rhizopus stolonifer. Its description in RNAcentral is "partial large subunit ribosomal RNA". It matches the Rfam family "Eukaryotic large subunit ribosomal RNA", at positions 71 to 648 of the family's 3401-position model. Lineage: Eukaryota; Fungi; Mucoromycota; Mucoromycetes; Mucorales; Rhizopodaceae. The record is from RNAcentral.
AUGAUUUCCCUAGUAACGGCGAGUGAAGAGGAAAGAGCUCAAAGUUGGAACCUGUUUGGCCUAGCUAAACAGGAUUGUAAACUGUAGAAGUGUUUUCCAGGCAAUCCGAGUUAAUAAGUCCUUUGGAACAGGGCAUCAUAGAGGGUGAGAAUCCCGUCUUUGAUUCGAGAUAUUUUGUCUUUUGCGAUACACUUUCAAAGAGUCAGGUUGUUUGGGAAUGCAGCCUAAAUUGGGUGGUAAAUCUCACCUAAAGCUAAAUAUUGGCGAGAAACCGAUAGCGAACAAGUACCGUGAGGGAAAGAUGAAAAGAACUUUGAAAAGAGAGUUAAACAGUAUGUGAAAUUGUUAAAAGGGAACCGUUUGGAGCCAGACUGGCUUGUCUGUAAUCAAUCUAGGUUUCGUGCCUGGAUGCACUUGCAGACUAUUUGCCUGCCAACGACAAUUUUUUUUGAGUGUAAAAACUAUUGGAAAUGUGGCCAAUAUUUAUUUAUUGGUGUUAUAGUCCUUUAGAAAAUACCUUGAAUUGGAUUGAGGAACGCAGCGAAUGCUUCUCUUUUGAGGCAAAGUCUUUUAUUGGGAUUUACGGAUCAGACUGUGGCAUUGUCACAAGACUUGAAGUUUAAACCUAUUUUUGAACUUUUAUUCGCUUAGGUUGUUGGCUUAAUGACUCUAAAAUGAC